Molecule: ribosomal RNA, 504 nt
Filed under: uncultured bacterium
Lineage: Bacteria
Description: bacterial SSU rRNA
Rfam family: Bacterial small subunit ribosomal RNA
Source: RNAcentral
GAUCAUGGCUCAGGAUGAACGCUAGCUACAGGCUUAACACAUGCAAGUCGAGGGAACGACAUCGAAAGCUUGCUUUUGAUGGGCGUCGACCGGCGCACGGGUGAGUAACGCGUAUCCAACCUGCCCACCACUUGGGGAUAACCUUGCGAAAGUAAGACUAAUACCCAAUGAUAUCUCUAGAAGACAUCUGAAAGAGAUUUAAAGAUUUAUCGGUGAUGGAUGGGGAUGCGUCUGAUUAGCUUGUUGGCGGGGUAACGGCCCACCAAGGCAACGAUCAGUAGGGGUUCUGAGAGGAAGGUCCCCCACAUUGGAACUGAGACACGGUCCAAACUCCUACGGGAGGCAGCAGUGAGGAAUAUUGGUCAAUGGGCGAGAGCCUGAACCAGCCAAGUAGCGUGCAGGACGACGGCCCUAUGGGUUGUAAACUGCUUUUAUAAGGGAAUAAAGUGAGUCUCGUGAGACUUUUUGCAUGUACCUUAUGAAUAAGGACCGGCUAAUUCCGUG